UUCUGCCUUAUAUUUUCAGCUCUAACCUAUGUGCCUUAUUAUGACUUACUUUGCAAACAUGUACUGCAGUAUUCUCUCAUUACAGCGAGCCUAGCAGAUGUUCUUUCAAACAGCUGACUCGCUGCUUCCAUUUGCAGGCAGGUAUUGCUUGCACGUAAUGGGGUUUUAUCUUUAGCUUUUAAUUAUGUUCUUUUCAAGACGUAUUGUACAUUAAAAAAAAUAUAUUUGACAAUCCAACUGAGCCUAUGAACCACUGUGCGGCUGACUACCACAAGAUGCAAUGAAGAAAAGCUAACACACUUACAUACUUCUACACACACAGCUUGCAACUAUUACAUCUGCCCCUCUUAUCUCUCUGCUCUCAGUGAAACAAUGCCUACCAUAACAGAAUAUUAAGCAAAGGUAAAUUAAAUCCUAUGAACUUUCUCGUGUCCUCCUCUGUUUAGACCAAGACUAUAAACAAAAGUGAGACUGACUACCACAAAAUGCCAUGAUGUAAAGAAACUGAGCAUAUAGGGAGUGGACAGUUAUGCAGGCGAUUCUCC
Esox lucius (northern pike) is the source of this 545-nucleotide long non-coding RNA. The record is from Ensembl. NCBI's taxonomy places the organism in Eukaryota, Metazoa, Chordata, Actinopteri, Esociformes, Esocidae.